CGCGUAGGCGGCCGAACCAGUCAGAUGUGAAAGCCCGGGGCUCAACCCCGGAAGUGCAUUUGAUACUGUUUGGCUUGAGUAUGGGAGAGGGAAGUGGAAUUCCUGGUGUAGAGGUGAAAUUCGUAGAUAUCAGGAGGAACACCGGUGGCGAAGGCGGCUUCCUGGACCAAUACUGACGCUGAGGCGCGAAGGCGUGGGGAGCAAACAGGAUUAGAUACCCUGGUAGUCC
RNAcentral lists this ribosomal RNA (229 nucleotides) under uncultured bacterium. Its description in RNAcentral is "partial 16S ribosomal RNA". It matches the Rfam family "Bacterial small subunit ribosomal RNA", at positions 568 to 796 of the family's 1533-position model. The record is from RNAcentral.